Molecule: long non-coding RNA, 1671 nt
Organism: Anguilla rostrata (American eel)
Lineage: Eukaryota; Metazoa; Chordata; Actinopteri; Anguilliformes; Anguillidae
Exons: 4
Source: RefSeq, a predicted model, not a curated record
GGGGGGUGGGGGCAGCAUAAAGCGUGUUGCAUCACUUUUCCCCUUAGGAUCCGUGCCUUGCGAACGUUCCGAUCAAGCCCCGAUCGCCAACCGCAUCCUUGUUUCUGGAAUAUCUACUGCAAGGGUUGUGUCCUUCGGUCGCUCGCUCUCUCUCGGUUUCCUUUCUGGAUCGCUGUACGAGCAGAUGAACAGGGGCGCUCUAGGAUUCAAACAGCAUUGUGUUUGGGGCGGCUGCACGACUUCCCUCCGCCGGUGUCGGUGCUGUGGAGCAGCAGUCCGUGCACAGAACUUGCAGAACAGAGAGGGGAGGGUCUACGGCGCCGAAUAUUGAUUGACGCGGGAUUCUACCAAACAGCGAGAUGCCGCCGGCCGCAGUCGAAUGAUGGAACAAGACGGCACGGAAUGAAAAACCUUCUAAAACAUGAAGGGUACCUAGAGGCCGUAAAAACCUGCACUGGCCCUCCAGGACCGGAGCUGCCCACCCCAGUCCUGCACACCCUGGGGGAGGAAGCCACCGAGAGCUCAGCCUGGCAGGAUAUAAACCAGCCCAGCCCUGAAUUUAACCCUAACCCUAACCCUGCUCCUGGAGAUCUAUUAUCUACUGCUUCACUCCAACCCUAACAAAGCACUCAACAGCUAGAGCCCUGCUCCUGGAGAUCUACUAUCCUGUAGGGUUUCACUCCAACCCAAACAAAGCACACCUCACUCAACAGCAAGAGCAGAGCUGCCCAACCCUGCUCCUGGAGAUCUACUGUCCUGUAGGGUUUCACUCCAACCCAAACAAAGCACACCUCACUCAACAGCAAGAGCAGAGCUGCCCAACCCUGCUCCUGGAGAUCUACUGUCCUGUAGGGUUUCACUCCAACCCAAACAAAGCACACCUCACUCAACAGCUAGAGAUCUGGUUCAGCUGCUCUUUACUUCGCUGCUUUUCUGACUUCUGGACUCUGGAAUGGCUGGGCCCACAGGGUCCUCCCUCCUUCCAGUUCAGAAGAGUUUAGGAGCACGCACACACACACUGACCCGAGUGCUCUGUCAGUUUAGGAGCACACACGCACACACACACACACUGGCCCAAGGGGCCAAUGAGAAAGAUGCCAGUUCUGGUGCAAAAUAUCUUGUGUUAUUAUCAUAGUUUUUUUUUUUUUUUUUUAGCUCCAACAUGAAUGCUUUGAGUAAUUAGAAACUAAUCUUUGAAAACAAUACUGCUCAGAGGAAGAGACCUAUAAUGAGGGACCUUUAAUGUUUUCCCUGCUUUACACAAAAUGUACAUGCUGUUAAUUAAAAUCUGUAAUAAGGCAUAAGCAUCACGCUUUACUCUGUGGAAAGGCAGGAGACAAACGAAAUGAAACUAUAUUCCUUGAGGCAGGGAUGCUGCUCUCAGUGUCUCUCUCUGCUGGUCAAAUUAUAUUGAUUGCUAAAGUGCAUUGGGUAUGUUGCACUGCAGUUAUUCAAAUUCUCCUGAUAAAUGAGGCUUAAUUACAAUUUAAUCAAUCAAUCACUAGAUAAUUUUGAGUAAGUUUGAAAUGUGCAGUGCUGUAGUGAUUUUGGCUUUUUACUUUUCUCUUUCAUGAAUCAUGUUACGUGAAUAAUACUUUCAUAAACAUAAAAACAGAUCUUACUUUCAUCCCAUCUCAUCACUUUUUUAAUAAACAUCUAAUGUGAAAAAUG